GUGGGGAAUAUUGGACAAUGGGGGGAACCCUGAUCCAGCCAUGCCGCGUGUGUGAAGAAGGCCUUUUGGUUGUAAAGCACUUUAAGCGAGGAGGAGGCUACCGAGAUUAAUACUCUUGGAUAGUGGACGUUACUCGCAGAAUAAGCACCGGCUAACUCUGUGCCAGCAGCCGCGGUAAUACAGAGGGUGCAAGCGUUAAUCGGAUUUACUGGGCGUAAAGCGCGCGUAGGUGGCCAAUUAUGUCAAAUGUGAAAUCCCCGAGCUUAACUUGGGAAUUGCAUUGGAUACUGGUUGGCUAGAGUAUGGGAGAGGAUGGUAGAAUUCCAGGUGUAGCGGUGAAAUGCGUAGAGAUCUGGAGGAAUACCGAUGGCGAAGGCAUCCUCCUGGGAUGACACUGACGCUCAUGCACGAAAGCGUGGGGAGCAAACAGGAUUAGAUACCCUUGUAGUCC
Molecule: ribosomal RNA, 451 nt
Filed under: uncultured bacterium
Lineage: Bacteria
Description: partial 16S ribosomal RNA
Rfam family: Bacterial small subunit ribosomal RNA
Source: RNAcentral